This 1612-nucleotide long non-coding RNA is filed under the name Homo sapiens (human). RNAcentral describes it as "HSALNT0065208". Lineage: Eukaryota; Metazoa; Chordata; Mammalia; Primates; Hominidae. The record is from RNAcentral.
CUUCGUUACUGAAAUAUGAAUCUAAUCCCAUCUCUGAAUUUGAUCAACCAAAACUGUGCAAACUGAGAGCUUCCUAAAUUGGAUUUUAGUAGUGAAUUGAUUUGAGCCCUACUUUUUGUUUAGCACAUCAGCUGCUUAUGUCAGCCUGUACUGUAGUGGUGGGUUAGUGACCUCAGUGAUAUGUUGGAAGCUACAGACUUAACUGUCAAUAGGAUUGGCUUGGCCCUUUAUCCUUCAGCGGCAGAUAAAUAGAGCCCCAUUCAGUAGGUUCAUUGUGUAGGGAUUUGUUGGAGUUUUAUUUAUGCAGAUUUGGAAGCAGUUGGAGAUCAUCAACAUCCAAUACACCCUCUGUCAAAUAUUUCUCUUCCAUUGUUGGGUUAUUAAAAUAUGGGUUGGGAGGUUGGGGGAUUCUGUCCUUUUUAGAAGCAAAUACUUUUUUAAAAAUAAUCAAAAGAGCAUUUUUUUUAUUUUGUAUUUUUUGGUAUCUAGGGUAUCUCUGAGUAGUCGAUUUUUGAUCUCUACCCAUCCUCAAAACUGAAAACCAGUCCUCCAUUUCUCCAGGGCUUACCUUUUCAUCACUUGAAGACCAGUGGUUACGUGAUUUGGACCCACUGAGGAACGUAGAAUGAUAUCAGUUCAAAAGUAUUGGAUACCUGUGGAGCACUUUGCAAGAUAUUGCAGGAUUUUUGGGGCUUUCUAUAGAACUACACAGAAGUAUUGCUGAGUACUUUGCAAUAUGAAUUCCUGCAAUUUGCAGGAAUUUGCCACGCUUUUCAGGUGAUCAUGCUUGGCACUGUAUGCCACAAUGUGGAAACUUGACGGUAUCCUCAAGACACUAGAGAGCAUGACCAGGGGAUGAUGCCAGGGUGGGCAAGACAUAGCAUGCAUUAUACCUGUGUAGCUAAAGUGCCCACAAGAGACUGCAAAACUUCUCUAAGCAGCAGUGUGAUCAUGGUGAAGACAGCAGUAAGAUCUUAUAUAACAGAAGACAGAAAAAGACAGAGAAGGAGUCACGUGGAGAUGCACACACAUAUUGGGGACUGGUGGAGACUUCACUUAAGAAUCUCUCAUCAAGAACAGGCACAGAGUACGAAUUGAGGAGGCUCUGAAUUCCGGAAGCACUUCCAGGAACUGUGGGGUUGACAGAAGGGAUAUGCAACAGGUUCUGCAUCCUUGAGGAUCUCACUGCAAGAACAGCACAGAAAGAGCAUGACCCAACUCAAGAGGAGUCUAGACAUCGAGUUGCACAAGACUGAGUGUGCACAAUGGGAUUGGAGAGAAGUAACGGCAUGGGCUGCCAUGAUCAGGGAAAGCUGCACAGAAGUGUUGGGUUUGGUGAGUGUCUCACAGUGAGUGACUGCUAUGAAUCAGAUACUGAGGCAGAGCUAAAUAAGGUGCAGCCUUUGCUCUAAGGAGCUUAGAACCAGUAAAGAAAGACGUAUUAACAUGCAAUGUUUAAAUGGUGCAGUGAGGGAGUGCUAGGAAUGGUUUUCGGGAAUAUUGUAAGAACAUGGAAGGAAAAGGGCUUAAGUUGGCUUUGCAGGAUGAAUUGGGUCUAAGUUAGCCCUAGGUAGGUGGAUCAGCACGAACAAAGGUAUAACAGUGGGGAAAC